Molecule: long non-coding RNA, 216 nt
Filed under: Mytilus galloprovincialis (Mediterranean mussel)
Lineage: Eukaryota; Metazoa; Mollusca; Bivalvia; Mytilida; Mytilidae
Source: RNAcentral
GUUUAUUAUACGACCGCAAAAAUUUUAAUUUUUUGGUCGUAUAUUGCUAUCACGUUGGCGUCGUCGUCGUCGUCGUCCGAAUACUUUUAGUUUUCGCACUCUAACUUUAGUAAAAGUGAAUAGAAAUCAAUGAAAUUUUAACACAAGGUUUAUGACCACAAAAGGAAGGUUGGGAUUGAUUUUGGGAGUUUUGGUCCCAACAUUUUAGGAAUUAAG